UGGAAGUGUACGGAGAAAAGUCCUUUUCUAGUACAGGAUUGUUGAUCCUCAUCCAUUAUUUGAUUUGAAUGCUCUAAAAUUUUGUCUCAAAAUUAAAAAUCGUAAGCUUAGUGAUGAAGAAAUUAGAAUGCCGAGAGCAUUUAAAAAUAAUACCUAAGUUUUAGAACGCAUCAAAGUAACCCUCCUUAGUUCUUUCACCACAGGAUAUGGUUCAGUUCAUCUGCCAAGAGGAGCAUUUUUGGUGAAAAUAUUGCAAAACAAAAGUUAUUGAGAUUGUGAGCAAGCAAACAUGAAAAAGCAGAGUAGAAAUGACAUUGAAAUUACUUCAAACCACUUACCACAAUGUAAACACCCAAAAUCAUUUGAAAUUACCUCCCACAUUUCCAAGGACGGGGUUAAAAUGACCUUCGUCACCACAGCCAAGUUCCCACCUCCACUUCUACCUCCAGAACUGCAACCAAG
This 462-nucleotide long non-coding RNA is filed under the name Olea europaea (common olive). Its description in RNAcentral is "long non-coding RNA (OEUR_LNC002492)". The record is from RNAcentral. Lineage: Eukaryota; Viridiplantae; Streptophyta; Magnoliopsida; Lamiales; Oleaceae.